Molecule: ribosomal RNA, 430 nt
Filed under: Pseudomonadota bacterium
Lineage: Bacteria; Pseudomonadati; Pseudomonadota
Description: Proteobacteria bacterium partial 16S ribosomal RNA
Rfam family: Bacterial small subunit ribosomal RNA
Source: RNAcentral
UGGGGAAUAUUGGACAAUGGGGGGAACCCUGAUCCAGCCAUGCCGCGUGUGUGAAGAAGGCCUUAUGGUUGUAAAGCACUUUAAGCGAGGAGGAGGGUACUGGUAUUAAUACUACCAGGUACUGGACGUUACUCGCAGAAUAAGCACCGGCUAACUCUGUGCCAGCAGCCGCGGUAAUACAGAGGGUGCGAGCGUUAAUCGGAUUUACUGGGCGUAAAGCGUGCGUAGGCGGCUAAUUGAGUCGGAUGUGAAAUCCCCGAGCUUAACUUGGUAAUUGCAUUCGAUACUGGUUAGCUAGAGUGUGGGAGAGGAUGGUAGAAUUCCAGGUGUAGCGGUGAAAUGCGUAGAGAUCUGGAGGAAUACCGAUGGCGAAGGCAGCCAUCUGGCCUAACACUGACGCUGAGGUACGAAAGCAUGGGGAGCAAACAGG